UGGCUAUUUUUAAGAGCCAGCAUAGUGUCAUAUCUUGAGCAUUGAACCAGGAAGACCAGAAAUUGAAUCCUUGCUCAGCCAUGGAAACCCAAUUCUAGGUUGGCAGAAGCUGGGACUAACUACAGGAGCUCACCCCGCCCCAUGAAUUCGAACCGCUGACCUUCUGAUCACUCCAUGGCUUUCCCGCUGCAGGAUGCCAAGCAAUAAAAAUGGAUAAAAGACUUCUGCUUCAACACUCAAGGUUAGCCACAGACAUGCUGUCUAGUGUGGAUAGAUGUUAGCUACCUUGAGUCCCCAUGAGAAGAACAGCGGGAUACAAAGCUGAUGAUGGCAAUGAAGAAGAAGAAGAAGAAGAAGAAGAAGAAGAAGAAGAAGAAGAAUCAUCAUCAUCAUCAUCAUCAUCAUCAUCAUCUACUCCCCCCCCCCCCCCGAAGGGAAAUUUAUUCCUGAAAAAGAGAUCAUGGGGAAAAGGUGUCUCCACCGAAGCUUUCUCACCAAUCCUUGCUUCCACAACAAGCCAUUUUUUUAAAAAAUCCAAUUAUCACAGGGACAGAAAGCGAAGUGGAAUGUCUUGAACAGGGGCACCAACAGCAAAAUCCUUUCCUAUGUUGCUGAUAGAUAGAUAAUGUACCUGUUGAUUGAUAAAAAUGUACCUGUUCCUGUAGAUACUCAGAAGUUACUACAGACUUUUCCCAAGUAAUAAUAAGGAUCAGAACUUUUGCAACAAGAGUGUAGCAGCUGCAGUGUGUUAGAUGGGUGUGUUAACAACCCUAGUGAAUAAAACAAACUGUGAGUUAGCUGCUCACUGCUGUUGCUGGUUGUUAGCUACUGGUGUAAGUAGCUGGUGUAUGCAGCUAGUGGUACUGACUGCUAGCCACUGGUGUUGCAACUACAUGCUGCUGAAGUUGGAACUGAAGAGAAGCUAAAGAAAAAGCCAAGAGUGGGUGUUCCUCUCAUUGCACCAGUCAAGGGCAUCUUGGACCUUAGUAAGGAAAGACGUUUUUCCUUCCUAUUAUCAAAGAGAAGAUUUAUCAAGGAGACAAUGUUUGUUUACUUUUUCUUUGUAGUGAGGAUAUCUACUGUGAACUGUGUUACAUAUUUUUGUUACCUUAAAGUGGAUGAACUACUUUCAGUUUCUACUUUAAAGCACAGCUGACACAAGCGUUUUUCUUUCAUCAGGACUUGAGUUAAGGGACACACAGCAUAAAAGGGCUGCUAUAUCCUUAACAGGAUAGCAAUCUUCUGCGCUCUGCAUAUCAAACUAAAUAGGCAGGCUACUAACUAUGGUUUGACAGUUCCAACUUACAUACAAACUCAAGUUAAGAAAAACCUACAAGAAUCUAUCUUGUUCAUAACCCAGGAACUGCCUGUAUAUAGGUGCACAGAUUGCAAACCCAUCUAAAGAUUGAACAUUUCCCCAAUGCAUUUUUUUAUUUAUGUUUUGCAAUAACAGGACACAAUGUAGAAAUUCAAAGACUCGGAUUUCUACUUGUUGGCACUUCUUGCGUGAUCUCCAGCCAGUCGAUUUCUCAUUAGAGUUGGCUUAUGUCACUGAAGACUGAAUAGGAAUAUUCUCUACUAAUGGAUUUCUCUUUUGUAAUAUCACAUGUCUUUAUGUUUUAUAGAAGGCUAUUUUGAGGAAACAAGAAAAAUUGGCCACAAAUCAGCUGAAGUAGAUAGGCAUCUCUUUUAAACAUGAGAUAUGAAUAGCAUACUCCAGCCUCCAAGAUAUCUCAUAACGUAUUAAAUGCAAAUACAAGUAUUCCAAAAUCCCAACAAAAUCCAAAAUCCUUUUGGUCCAACUUCAGAUAAGAGAUACUCUACUACUAUCAAGAGUGUAUCAAAAUCCAGAUAAUGUUUCAAAUGAUAAAAACACGCAUUCCAACUUCUGACUUUAUUUAUUUACUCCAUUUAUAUCCCGCUCUACUCACCUCGAAGGGGACUCAGAGCGGCUUACAAAUCAAAUGAACAUACAAUAUAUUAUUAGCAUAGCACAAUAUAAGCAUUAAAUUACUAUAUUGUACUAUAUCAUUAUAUGCUAAUAUUAUUAGUAAUAUUACAUUUAAUAUAUAAUAUAUAAUUAAUAUUAUUAUAUUGUAUUAUUAGUAGUAUAAUAUUGUAUAAUUCAUUUGUUUUUGGAGUAGAAGAUAUUGUAGAUGGAAUUCCUUUAUAUGUUAACAACCCCCUUUAUGAAAGGACUCGCCAUUUGGUUCCCAUAUUCCAUUUUAUUAAUUUAUUAAAAAUUACAGCACUGUUACACACAUUUCGCUCGCUUUUCCCCACUUCUCACCCAGAUCAACAAUCAUAAGGUCGUUUCUUUGUAUUUUGGUUCCUAGCAUCUCCCCCAAAUCCCAGGUUAGUUUACAAUAAUGAUUUUUUUUUAAAAAAAACAUUCGAACACAUUAAAUAGCCGUUAAAAAAGAGGAUUUAGGAUCACAUUCGCUCCAUCACCCGCUUGGGAAACAAUCACUUUAUUUUGUAUAUAAGACGAAGGAAGGUGUGUUGCCUAUCCCGAAAAUAAAUUACUGUAUGAGAUGGAAACUUAAGAGUAUGUCACAGAACUACAUAGGACCCUGAAAGAAAAAGGCUGGAAACAGUCUUGACACUCAGCAAACUGCAAGGAAAUUCAAUCGAGAACACAACAAUAAUUAAUUCCCAUAUAAUUCUCCCUUUCUCCAUGGGAAACAGCUUCUUCAUUCUUCAUUCACCUUUCAUUCUGACUCAGACAUUAUUAGUAGUGGUGAGGUGGAAGAGGAGAUGGUACUGCCUAACUAUUCAUUGAUGGCAAACAAACAAGUAGCAUGACUGAUGAGAAGAGUAUAAUGAUAUGAGAAUGACAGCAAGAAAAUAGACUCAUGGAACAAGGAGGAGAAACAAGGAGACUCCCAAGGUCUCUUUUGACUAGUGACCCUCAAAAGUUGGAACUGGAGCUGGAUUCAAGACCUCACAAACAUGCCCUACCACAUUUCACAGCCAGAUUAAAAACCAGAAGUGAGUUCAAGACGGCAAGCUUGCAGAGCCUGUAACAGUUUGCUUUUGCUGGAAUCAAUCAAAAAGAGUUAGAUAUUACCUUCUCCUCUUUUCCCUUCUGAGUCAGGCUGCAACAACUAAAAUACACUGAGGACAAAGGGGGGUAGUGGGAAGAGGAUACAGAAACUGGGGCAUUGUAAAAGCAGCUGGAAAAAGCGUGAUGACAGAGGAUUAUUAAGGACUGCCUCUGACGAAUCAGGAUAGGUGGAGGGUAUGGAUAGGUCUACAUUAAUUCAUGUCAGAGUGGUGUUCAUAUUUUAUGAAUCUCUGCAACUAAAUAAUAGAUUAUUUCACGCUGUAUUUUCCAAUUAACAAGCCAUCAUCUUCUCCUUCCACUUUGUGCUUUAUCCAAGUAUCCCAUAGCAGAAAUAUAUUUGCUUAGAAAUAAAUAGAUCCAAUGGAGUUCACCUGCCACUACAUAAUUUUAGCCUAAAGAGACUCGAUUGACUCCAGUAGUACAAUACUCUUAUAGCACAAUGUCUACUACAAAGAUGUUUGUUCCGGGAUAAUUUUAAUGCACUGGCAUUGGUAUGUAGGAGAUAUUACAGAGGAGCCAAUGUGAGCUUUUAAAAAUUGUGAUAGUGUGUUAGAUGCAUUCCUCGUUCUAAGCCUAUCAAAGUAGCAUCCAGCCUUCUCUCUGCCAAUACGUGGGGCCGUGGUGACACUGGAGGCAGGAAGGAAAUAUCUCAAGGAAAUCCACAGGCAUAGAGGAGGAGUGGAGAAAUCUCCAAAGUAUUGCUAGAAAGCACAGUUCUGACCCAAUUCAGACAUGGUUAGCAUUUGGAUGGGAGAUCACACAUGGAUAUCAGGUGCUGGAGGCUAUAUUCGAAAUGAAGGAAUUGCCAAAAUAUCUUUGAAUAUUCUUCACCUAAGAAAUCCCUGCGAAAUUCAUAGGGUUGCCACAAGUCAACGUACAAACAUAAGAAAUCUUAGGUCAUGUUUCAGUGUUGUUGGGUCUUGUCAUGGCACUGCCCCUCCCCCCAAAAAAACAACAACAAAUGCCUGAAGGUGCCAGGUGUUGACUUUGAAUGCUGGUAGAGAAAUCAUAUUAUGUCCUUCUGCAUCCUUAUUUCUUUAGGAGCUCAGCUGCCAGGAGACAGAGAAGAGAAGCCACCUCCUACACUCUAUUUUUGUGAAGAUUUUAAAUAGCAACCAUAGUGAUAUUUAUUAUGGGACAUGACAAAGAUACCAGAAUAAAUCCUACCCGAACACACUGUUAGCUGAAAUCCACCCAAAUACACUCUUGUCCAAAUAAACUAUAAAUAUAAAUUUAAUAUUGAACAUAGCCAGGAGGACGCCUUUGAACACUGUGGCUUCCUCCUACACUAAAAUUCCCUUGCCUCCCCGCAGCCCAAAACAAAACAAAACUAAAGAUAUGCAUUUCACAUUAAAUUUAGUAUGGCCUAUUGCUUUCAAGUACAACAUGUGUUACCAAUGGAAAAUGUUCUGAACGUUUGUAUAAUUUUAUGUAGCACUAUUUACAAUAAAAAAGAUGGAAAAAAGUACAACAUGAUAACAAGUACAA
Anolis carolinensis (green anole) is the source of this 4555-nucleotide long non-coding RNA. RefSeq lists it as uncharacterized. The record is from RefSeq and is a predicted model, not a curated record. NCBI's taxonomy places the organism in Eukaryota, Metazoa, Chordata, Lepidosauria, Squamata, Anolidae. The transcript is spliced from 4 exons.